RNAcentral lists this ribosomal RNA (680 nucleotides) under uncultured Alphaproteobacteria bacterium. RNAcentral describes it as "bacterial SSU rRNA". It matches the Rfam family "Bacterial small subunit ribosomal RNA", at positions 52 to 776 of the family's 1533-position model. The record is from RNAcentral. Lineage: Bacteria; Pseudomonadati; Pseudomonadota; Alphaproteobacteria.
CACAUGCAAGUCGAGCGAGACCUUCGGGUCUAGCGGCGGACGGGUGAGUAACGCGUGGGAACGUGCCCUUUUCUGCGGAAUAGCCUCGGGAAACUGAGAGUAAUACCGCAUACGCCCUUUCGGGGGGAAAGAUUUAUCGGAGAAGGAUCGGCCCGCGUUGGAUUAGGUAGUUGGUGGGGUAACGGCCUACCAAGCCGACGAUCCAUAGCUGGUUUGAGAGGAUGAUCAGCCACACUGGGACUGAGACACGGCCCAGACUCCUACGGGAGGCAGCAGUGGGGAAUCUUAGACAAUGGGGGCAACCCUGAUCUAGCCAUGCCGCGUGAGUGAUGAAGGCCUUAGGGUUGUAAAGCUCUUUCAGCUGGGAAGAUAAUGACGGUACCAGCAGAAGAAGCCCCGGCUAGCUCCGUGCCAGCAGCCGCGGUAAUACGGAGGGGGCUAGCGUUGUUCGGAAUUACUGGGCGUAAAGCGCACGUAGGCGGACCAGAAAGUUGGGGGUGAAAUCCCGGGGCUCAACCUCGGAACUGCCUUCAAAACUACUGGUCUGGAGUUCGAGAGAGGUGAGUGGAAUUCCGAGUGUAGAGGUGAAAUUCGUAGAUAUUCGGAGGAACACCAGUGGCGAAGGCGGCUCACUGGCUCGAUACUGACGCUGAGGUGCGAAAGCGUGGGGAGCAAACAGG